UACGUAGGGGGCUAGCGUUGUCCGGAAUCAUUGGGCGUAAAGCGCGUGUAGGCGGUCCGGUAAGUCCGCCGUGAAAGUCCAGGGCUCAACCCUGGGAUGCCGGUGGAAACUGUCGGGCUAGAGUCCGGAAGAGGCGAGUGGAAUUCCUGGUGUAGCGGUGAAAUGCGCAGAUAUCAGGAGGAACACCAAUGGCGAAGGCAGCUCGCUGGGACGGUACUGACGCUGAGACGCGAAAGCGUGGGGAGCAAACAGG
This 253-nucleotide ribosomal RNA is filed under the name uncultured bacterium. Its description in RNAcentral is "partial 16S ribosomal RNA". It matches the Rfam family "Bacterial small subunit ribosomal RNA", at positions 524 to 776 of the family's 1533-position model. The record is from RNAcentral.